This 252-nucleotide ribosomal RNA is filed under the name uncultured bacterium. Its description in RNAcentral is "partial 16S ribosomal RNA". It matches the Rfam family "Bacterial small subunit ribosomal RNA", at positions 524 to 776 of the family's 1533-position model. The record is from RNAcentral.
UACGAGGGGGCGAGCGUUGUUCGGAAUUAUUGGGCGUAAAGGGUGCGUAGGCGGUUUGGUAAGUCUUAUGUGAAAUCUACAGGCUCAACUUGUAGUCUGCAUGAGAAACUGCCGGGCUUGAGUAUGGGAGAGGUGAGUGGAAUUCCUGGUGUAGCGGUGAAAUGCGUAGAUAUCAGGAGGAACACCUGUGGCGAAAGCGGCUCACUGGACCAUAACUGACGCUGAUGCACGAAAGCUAGGGGAGCAAACAGG